GGCUGUGGCUCGGUGGUAGAGCACCUACCUUGCACAUGUGAGGUACUGGGUUCGAUCCUCAGCACCA
RNAcentral lists this transfer RNA (67 nucleotides) under Marmota monax (woodchuck). Its description in RNAcentral is "tRNA.Ala". The record is from RNAcentral. Lineage: Eukaryota; Metazoa; Chordata; Mammalia; Rodentia; Sciuridae.